Molecule: long non-coding RNA, 465 nt
Organism: Hevea brasiliensis (rubber tree)
Lineage: Eukaryota; Viridiplantae; Streptophyta; Magnoliopsida; Malpighiales; Euphorbiaceae
Exons: 2
Source: RefSeq, a predicted model, not a curated record
GAUUUUCGGCACGACUUAGGACGUAAUUGGUCUUUUUCUUUAUUUGUAUUGAGUCAGAUUGUAUUAAAUAAAUGUAAUAUGAUUGUCAGGUGAGCCGGGACAGCCUUCUUCCUCCGCCCAGCCGCCACAGUAAUUUGUCGUCAAGUCUGCCACAGGAGGAUAUUUUGUUCUGGGUUAACCUGCCUUUUUACCUCGCAGGUUGUUUAUCAAUAUUGUGUAAUUUUAAUUACUCCUAGAAUUUCCGCAUGUGUUAGCAGUAAUUAUUUGAAAUUGGUCUGUAAUAUUAUAUUCAUGUUGGACCUGUAAACUUAAUAUUUUAAGUCUGUUUGAUGGAUUGGAUGAGGGAGCUGAGCUCCCAUUUAUUAUUAUGUUGAUGAGUAUGUGGAGGGUGAGCUGAGCUCCCCAAUGGAUUGUUUAUUGUGUUUACAGGUCGGGUGAGUCGAAAACUCCCAGUUGGAAAGUCCA